Molecule: ribosomal RNA, 987 nt
Filed under: Janibacter sp.
Lineage: Bacteria; Bacillati; Actinomycetota; Actinomycetes; Micrococcales; Intrasporangiaceae
Description: bacterial SSU rRNA
Rfam family: Bacterial small subunit ribosomal RNA
Source: RNAcentral
AUGCAAGUCGAACGGUGAUGCUCCAGCUUGCUGGAGUGGAUCAGUGGCGAACGGGUGAGUAACACGUGAGCAACCUGCCCCAAACUCUGGAAUAAGCGCUGGAAACGGCGUCUAAUACUGGAUACGAGACCAACCUGCAUGGGUAUGGUUUGGAAAGUUUUUCGGUUUGGGAUGGGCUCGCGGCCUAUCAGCUUGUUGGUGAGGUAAUGGCUCACCAAGGCGACGACGGGUAGCCGGCCUGAGAGGGCGACCGGCCACACUGGGACUGAGACACGGCCCAGACUCCUACGGGAGGCAGCAGUGGGGAAUAUUGCACAAUGGGCGAAAGCCUGAUGCAGCGACGCCGCGUGAGGGAUGACGGCCUUCGGGUUGUAAACCUCUUUCAGCAGGGAAGAAGCGAAAGUGACGGUACCUGCAGAAGAAGCACCGGCUAACUACGUGCCAGCAGCCGCGGUAAUACGUAGGGUGCGAGCGUUGUCCGGAAUUAUUGGGCGUAAAGAGCUUGUAGGCGGUUUGUCGCGUCUGCUGUGAAAAUCCGGGGCUCAACCCCGGACUUGCAGUGGGUACGGGCAGACUAGAGUGUGGUAGGGGAGACUGGAAUUCCUGGUGUAGCGGUGAAAUGCGCAGAUAUCAGGAGGAACACCGAUGGCGAAGGCAGGUCUCUGGGCCACUACUGACGCUGAGAAGCGAAAGCAUGGGGAGCGAACAGGAUUAGAUACCCUGGUAGUCCAUGCCGUAAACGUUGGGAACUAGGUGUGGGUCUCAUUCCACGAGAUCCGUGCCGCAGCUAACGCAUUAAGUUCCCCGCCUGGGGAGUACGGCCGCAAGGCUAAAACUCAAAGGAAUUGACGGGGGCCCGCACAAGCGGCGGAGCAUGCGGAUUAAUUCGAUGCAACGCGAAGAACCUUACCAAGGCUUGACAUAUACCGGAAACUUCCAGAGAUGGUUGCCCCUUUUAGGUCGGUAUACAGGUGGUGCAUGGUUGUC